This 73-nucleotide transfer RNA is filed under the name Streptomyces sp. H27-H5. RNAcentral's name for it is "tRNA-Trp". It matches the Rfam family "tRNA". Rfam says of the family: Transfer RNA (tRNA) molecules are approximately 80 nucleotides in length. Their secondary structure includes four short double-helical elements and three loops (D, anti-codon, and T loops). The record is from RNAcentral. Lineage: Bacteria; Bacillati; Actinomycetota; Actinomycetes; Kitasatosporales; Streptomycetaceae.
UAGGGCGUAGCUCAAUUGGAAGAGCACCGGUCUCCAAAACCGGGUGGUGUUGGUUCGAAUCCAACCGGCCUAG